Molecule: RNase P RNA, 327 nt
Filed under: Porphyromonas sp. oral taxon 278 str. W7784
Lineage: Bacteria; Pseudomonadati; Bacteroidota; Bacteroidia; Bacteroidales; Porphyromonadaceae
Description: RNA component of RNase P
Rfam family: Bacterial RNase P class A
About the family: Ribonuclease P (RNase P) is a ubiquitous endoribonuclease, found in archaea, bacteria and eukarya as well as chloroplasts and mitochondria.
Source: RNAcentral
GAGGAACGUCCGGGCAACAUAGAGCACCAUACUUCCUAACGGGAAGCUAUCCGUGAGGGUAGGUAGAUGUAACAGAGAAUGACAGCCACGGGAGCCAUGGCCCCCGUGGUGAUGGUGAAAAGGUGAGGUAAGAGCUCACCGGAGUGUAUAGCAAUAUAUGCUGCCGUACAUCCUAUGGGUUGCAAGGUCAUGUAAACCGACGCUACGAGGGUUGCUCGCCCCAUGUCGGAGGGUAGACCGCACGAGAUAGUAGGUGACUACUAUCCUAGAUAAAUGACAGACACUCCCUGAGAGGGGCGACCCACGGGGAGUACAGAACUCGGCUUA